This 484-nucleotide ribosomal RNA is filed under the name uncultured bacterium. RNAcentral's name for it is "partial 16S ribosomal RNA". It matches the Rfam family "Bacterial small subunit ribosomal RNA", at positions 30 to 507 of the family's 1533-position model. The record is from RNAcentral.
AUUGAACGCUGGCGGCAGGCCUAACACAUGCAAGUCGAGCGGAUGAAGGGAGCUUGCUCCUGGAUUCAGCGGCGGACGGGUGAGUAAUGCCUAGGAAUCUGCUUGGUAGUGGGGGAUAACGUCCGGAAACGGGCGCUAAUACCGCAUACGUCCUGAGGGAGAAAGUGGGGGAUCUUCGGACCUCACGCUAUCAGAUGAGCCUAGGUCGGAUUAGCUAGUUGGUGGGGUAAAGGCCUACCAAGGCGACGAUCCGUAACUGGUCUGAGAGGAUGAUCAGUCACACUGGAACUGGGACACGGUCCAGACUCCUACGGGAGGCAGCAGUGGGGAAUAUUGGACAAUGGGCGAAAGCCUGAUCCAGCCAUGCCGCGUGUGUGAAGAAGGUCUUCGGAUUGUAAAGCACUUUAAGUUGGGAGGAAGGGCAGUAAGUUAAUACCUUGCUGUUUUGACGUUACCAACAGAAUAAGCACCGGCUAACUUCGUG